Long non-coding RNA from Lontra canadensis (Northern American river otter), 719 nucleotides. RefSeq lists it as uncharacterized. The transcript is spliced from 5 exons. NCBI's taxonomy places the organism in Eukaryota, Metazoa, Chordata, Mammalia, Carnivora, Mustelidae. The record is from RefSeq and is a predicted model, not a curated record.
GCCGAGGAGAAAACUUAAGCUCGAGAAUGACUGCAUAAACUAUGAUCUACAAAUGAUCUUCAAAGCAGCAGCAUUUUCUAAAGGAUAGAUAUUGGUGAGAAAAUUGCCUGGAUAUUUUCAGAUGGCCGCUUGCCACAGCCUUCCAUACAAUUGGCUCCAGCUGUCAAUGGAGAAAGCAAAGCAGCAUGAUGAGACCCUUAUGUAAAUACAAUCUUGCUGGUUCCUUUUGAAAUAUGUAGAGUUUCUCCCUUUGCAGAAACCCAAGUCCUGCAUUCAUCACUACUGUUCCAGGGAGAAGAGAUUCUUACUGAACUUAUGAAAAUAAAUAUACAACCAUGAAAAUAUAAGAGUCCUCACUGAAAGUUCCAGAUUCUGGAGGGACAAGGUAGAUGUUUAUGGGAUUACAAGAUACAUCAUUAACUGAACAUGAUCUACUUAGACUUAAUUUUAUAAGGUGCCAAAUAAAAGGUAUUUAUUUAGCAUUGGUGAAAAAGGCAGAGUUAAGGACCUCACUUUCCCAGAAUUCUAUGGUCCACCCUUCUCGUCAUCCCAGGAAGGAAAGCAACAUCUCUCCCUGUCCUCCAUACCUCUGGUUUCCUUGGACCAGAGUGGAGACUUUGUUAACAAGAAGCAAAAGCUAGAUUCUGAAAUGUUUUAUUUCCAUAUCUUCCAAUAUUUGGUGUGUUCUCUUCAAAAGAAAAAAAUACGUUAUGUCAUAA